This 397-nucleotide ribosomal RNA is filed under the name uncultured bacterium. RNAcentral describes it as "partial 16S ribosomal RNA". It matches the Rfam family "Bacterial small subunit ribosomal RNA", at positions 523 to 918 of the family's 1533-position model. The record is from RNAcentral.
AUACGUAGGGGGCGAGCGUUGUCCGGAUUGAUUGGGCGUAAAGGGCGCGUAGGCGGCCCGGUAAGUCUGGAGUGAAAGUCCUGUUUUUAAGAUGGGAAUUGCUUUGGCUACUGUCGGGCUUGAGUGCAGGAGAGGGCAGUGGAAUUCCUAGUGUAGAGGUGAACUGCGUAGAGAUUGGGAGGAACACCAGUGGCGAAGGCGACUUACUGGACUGUAACUGACGCUGAGGCGCGAAAGUGUGGGGAGCAAACAGGAGUAGAUACCCUGGUAGUCCACACUGUAAACGAUGAAUGCUAGGUGUAGGGGGUAUCGACCCCUUCUGUGCCGCAGUCAACACAAUAAGCAUUCCGCCUGGGGAGUACGGCCGCAAGGUUGAAACUCAAAGGAAUUGACGGGG